ACUUCAUUAUCGAUUCCCAUUUCCGCCCAAUGCUUCCUUCCGACACCAAAUCCCCUUCACGCUCCUAACCUCUUCGCACAGAAUCUCUCCUGGGAUGUAUAACCUCUGGGUUAAUCUCCUUACUAGAGGAGUGGUUUUAGUCGGUAGGCGCUUGGACGAAUCCGACACUACCCCCAUUCAGGGGGUCUUUUGAAGAUUUCCUCUCCUCUAGGAAA
Agrilus planipennis (emerald ash borer) is the source of this 215-nucleotide non-coding RNA. The record is from Rfam. Lineage: Eukaryota; Metazoa; Arthropoda; Insecta; Coleoptera; Buprestidae.